AACGCGAAGAACCUUACCUGGGCUCGAAGCGCAGUGGACCGGGGUAGAAAUAUCCCUUCCUCGCAAGAGGCUGCUGCGGAGGUGCUGCAUGGCUGUCGUCAGCUCGUGUCGUGAGAUGUUGGGUUAAGUCCCGCAACGAGCGCAACCCUUAUCCCUAGUUGCCAUCGGGUCAAGCCGGGCACUCUAGUGAAACCGCCCAGGAUAACUGGGAGGAAGGUGGGGAUGACGUCAAGUCCUCAUGGCCUUUAUGUCCAGGGCUACACACGUGCUACAAUGGUCGGUACAAACCGUCGCAAACCCGCGAGGGGGAGCCAAUCUCAAAAAACCGUUCUCAGUUCGGAUUGGAGUCUGCAACUCGACUCCAUGAAGCUGGAAUCGCUAGUAAUCGCUGAUCAGCAAGCAGCGGUGAAUACGUUCCCGGGCCUUGUACACACCGCUCGCGA
This 443-nucleotide ribosomal RNA is filed under the name uncultured bacterium. Its description in RNAcentral is "bacterial SSU rRNA". It matches the Rfam family "Bacterial small subunit ribosomal RNA", at positions 958 to 1399 of the family's 1533-position model. The record is from RNAcentral.